Molecule: ribosomal RNA, 502 nt
Filed under: uncultured bacterium
Lineage: Bacteria
Description: bacterial SSU rRNA
Rfam family: Bacterial small subunit ribosomal RNA
Source: RNAcentral
GAACGCUGGCGGCGUGCCUAAUACAUAGCAAGUUGAACGCACAAAGACACCAGAGCUUGCUCUACCGUUUUUGUUGAGUAGCGAACGGGUGAGUAACGCGUGGGUAACCUGCCUUAUAGCGGGGGAUAACUAUUGGAAACGAUAGCUAAUACCGCAUAACAACAGAGAUUGCAUAAUCUUUAUUUGAAAGUGCCAACUGGUACACUAUGAGAUGGACCCGCGUUGUAUUAGCUAGUUGGUAGUGUAAUGGACUACCAAGGCGAUGAUACAUAGCCGACCUGAGAGGGUGAUCGGCCACAUUGGGACUGAGACACGGCCCAAACUCCUACGGGAGGCAGCAGUAGGGAAUCUUCGGCAAUGGACGAAAGUCUGACCGAGCAACGCCGCGUGAGUGAAGAAGGUUUUCGGAUCGUAAAACUCUGUUGUUAGAGAAGAAUGUUGAUUAGAGUGGAAAAUUAAUCAAGUGACGGUAUCUAACCAGAAAGGGACGGCUAACUACGUG